CCUAAAGAAGGUGGUAAGCUCCACCUAAGGCUAAAUAUCACUGUGAGACCGAUAGCAAACAAGUACCGUGAGGGAAAGUUGCAAAGAACUUUGAAGAGAGAGUUCAACAGGACGUGAAACCGUUUGCAGGGAAACAGAUGGACCCACGAAGUCCAGUUGAGUGUGAAAUUCACCUUUCAAGACUGUUUAAGCUUAGGCUACAUCUUCAAUCGAAGGUGUACUUAGGUUUUUGACUGUCGAGAGAUGCAUUUUUCACAUUCACGAUGGAGCUCUGACUCCUCAAACAAACCGAUCUGCAUAGGGCAGCUCUGGUAUGUAGUAAGGUUCUUGUAAUCUUCGAUACAUACUGGAGUUUGUAGUGAGGUUUAACUGAGGGGUUGAAUUUCUCACGUUUGUGAGUGAUUCAGUUUGUCGGAGAAUAUAUUGAACAGGGAAGAGGCAAUGUGCUCUUUUCGACUCUUGUAGUUGAAAUUGUGUGUUGUUCGCUUACCAAAAUGUUUAAUAUAUUUGCCAAUGAUAAUCCAGAGUAAGUAGGUCGGUCAUCCAUCUGA
This 551-nucleotide ribosomal RNA is filed under the name Unionicola nr. minor C JN-2011. RNAcentral describes it as "eukaryotic LSU rRNA". It matches the Rfam family "Eukaryotic large subunit ribosomal RNA", at positions 286 to 647 of the family's 3401-position model. The record is from RNAcentral. Lineage: Eukaryota; Metazoa; Arthropoda; Arachnida; Trombidiformes; Unionicolidae.